UUAGGAAUCUUCCACAAUGGGCGCAAGCCUGAUGGAGCGACGCCGCGUGAGGGACGAAGGCUCUAGAGUUGUAAACCUCUAAAAGGGGGACGAUAAUGACGGUACCCCUUGAAAAGCACCGGCUAACUCAGUGCCAGCAGCCGCGGUAACACUGAGGGUGCAAGCGUUAUCCGGAAUCACUGGGCGUAAAGGGCGUGUAGGCGGUCUGUUAAGUCCGAUGUUAAAGACUGGGGCUCAACCCCAGCACGGCGUUGGAUACUGGCGGACUAGACGGCUGGAGAGGCAAGUAGAAUUACCAGUGUAGCGGUGAAAUGCGUAGAUACUGGUAGGAAUACUCAUUGCGAAGGCAGCUUGCUGGACAGCACGUGACGCUAAGGCGCGAAAGUGUGGGGAGCAAACCGG
This 402-nucleotide ribosomal RNA is filed under the name uncultured Solibacteraceae bacterium. RNAcentral describes it as "bacterial SSU rRNA". It matches the Rfam family "Bacterial small subunit ribosomal RNA", at positions 355 to 776 of the family's 1533-position model. RNAcentral also lists the same sequence under 1 other name. The record is from RNAcentral. Lineage: Bacteria; Pseudomonadati; Acidobacteriota; Terriglobia; Bryobacterales; Solibacteraceae.